AGAGUUUGAUCCUGGCUCAGGAUAAACGCUGGCGGCGUACCUAACACAUGCAAGUCGAACGAUCCCGCAAGGGAGAGUGGCGGAAGGGUGAGUAACACGUGGGAAUCUACCUCCUCGCAGGGAACAACCUCUCGAAAGAGAGGCUAAUACCCAAAAGGGUCAGAAAUGAUCAGAGUCGAAAGGCGUGAGGAGAGGAGCCCGCGGCCCAUCAGCUAGUUGGUGAGGUAAUGGCUUACCAAGGCUACGACGGGUAGGGGAUCUGAGAGGAUGUCCCCCACACUGGAACUGAAACACGGUCCAGACGCCUACGGGUGGCAGCAGUGAGGAAUAUUGGACAAUGGGCGAAAGCCCGAUCCAGCAACGCCGCGUGGAGGAUGAAGGCCUUCGGGUCGUAAACUUCUUUAGAGGGAGACGAGAAAGGACGGUAUCCCUAGAAUAAGCGACGGCAAACUACGUG
RNAcentral lists this ribosomal RNA (457 nucleotides) under uncultured bacterium. Its description in RNAcentral is "bacterial SSU rRNA". It matches the Rfam family "Bacterial small subunit ribosomal RNA", at positions 8 to 507 of the family's 1533-position model. The record is from RNAcentral.